UUUUCAACCAUUAUGAAUGUUUUAAUUUCAACCGUUUUAGAAGUUCAGAUGAAAAAAACAGAUUAUGGUUGAAAUUUAAACGUAGUCCAAAAUGAAAACACGGAAACACAUUAACUGUUGUCGGGUGCUAGUGCCGGUGUAUACUGUUUAGCUCCACAUCGGAUUUGCUUGGUACAUCUGCUGGCUGGGAACGAGCAGCGAUCGCAGAACUGGACAAAAGAGAGGAGAGGCCGUAAGCGGAAUCGGAACAAAUGUUAGCAGCUCCGAGGAGAUUCCAACAAUUUUGGAAAAUAUCUCUUCCAAAGGAGAUUAAGAGCUAUCCGGAUGUGGGGCGCAAGUUGUUUCCGUAAUACCAAGGUUCUGAGCGUCGAAACCAAGCGCCACGAUUAUCGGCACAGGUGGAAGAGCUAGUGGUUGCCCGGGUCUUUUACCAUGCAGAAUUGAUCCGGAACAAUUUUUUCAAAUUAUUUUUUUCCGAUUUGGCACCGUUGGGGAUCAGAACGUCAGAAUUCCCAAGCACUCCUCUGAAGACAACGCAAUGUCCUUCAAAAAUGUGAAACGGAAUGUAAACAGAACAGUUCCGGUUUUUAUAAUUAUCGAUAAAUAAAGCAGGAUCAGAAACAUGAUUUGAUGACAUUAAUUGAAUGUUGAUAUUAAUUUAAAUUUAUUUCCGAAAUCUUCUUUUUAAUUAUUUAAUCGAAUUAACCUAGUUUCUGUAGUCGAAAAAACGGUUAUUUAACAACCAUUUUCCAAUCUAGGUAAACGGUUGAAAAAUAACCAUAAUCCUAGUUCUCCGUAAAAUCUCAUUUUAUGAGUUUUCGCACAAAACUCAUAAAAUGACUUAACCCACAAAACUGCCAUUAUGGUUAUUUUUCAAACAUUUAUGGUUUAACUUGGCCC
Molecule: long non-coding RNA, 900 nt
Organism: Uranotaenia lowii
Lineage: Eukaryota; Metazoa; Arthropoda; Insecta; Diptera; Culicidae
Exons: 3
Source: RefSeq, a predicted model, not a curated record